This is a long non-coding RNA of Pleuronectes platessa (European plaice), 1584 nucleotides long. RefSeq lists it as uncharacterized. The record is from RefSeq and is a predicted model, not a curated record. The transcript has 3 exons. NCBI's taxonomy places the organism in Eukaryota, Metazoa, Chordata, Actinopteri, Pleuronectiformes, Pleuronectidae.
UGUUUUGAACUCAUUUGAGGGAGGAGCAGCUCAAGCUAUCAUAGGAGUUAGCUAGCUAGCUAGCGAGUUAAUGUCAUCUUAUAUUUGCCAUCACAUGAGCUAUAUUCAUCAACAGUGUAUGUAUCUCAUUAAUAUACAUUUAUCUAGGUGUAUAUCAGAUGUCAACGAUAUUGGCAGUGUUUAGGAUGUUCAAUCAAACAUGUACUGCUAGCUCUUGCCAGGCUUAAUCUAACGUUAGCUCGCUGACUGAGGUGGACAUUAGCACUAGUAGCUAGCUACAUGAAAACAGUACUGUUUUAUAAAUGUGACAUAGUGGUGAGUCUGACAGCGACUAAGUGCAGAGUCUUAGUCCGUGAGAUAUCGGUUUAUAUUGGAGGAAACAGCCAAAGGUGAACUUAACCUUCUAGGUGUAAGGGAUGCAAGCUAGCAUUGCUGUGCCUGUGCACGUUAGUAAAAGUGACAUCUCAGCCAAAGAUGGAGCACAAUGUGCGCUCUGCUCUAAGAUCUUUGUUGAAAGAUGGCCUAUUGGUCUUUAUGAGAAAACACCAUGUUGAAGUGAGGAGACGUCUGUGAUAAAAAUAUACUUAUAUUGUAUUAAUAUUAUAUUUAGGAUGUUAAGUGUUCACCACACUGCAAUUAGGCUGUGCCUUAUUUUGCCUCACUAGAAUAGGAAUGGUUAGGUGUGGAAUUGUUUGUUGAUGAGUGUAAGUAAUGAUGGCAAAAUAAACUCAUUUUUCAUAAACUCACUAUCAACUAUGCACUUUUGCAAUGUUAUUUUUUCAGAAACACUGUUGAAGUAUUUUGGAGCACAACCAACUGUACCUGCCCCCGAUGUGUCAUCAAGUGUCAGUGCCUCCACAGCUGAUGAUACAGCAGGUUCACCCCCAGCAGACUUACAGUCACCUGAAAGUGAGGAAGAACUUUUACCCAUUGAGGAACAGUUACCAGCAUUGACAGUCACUGAUACACCGACUUCAACCUCUGCCGGCAUAACAGGUCCUUCUACAGCAUCCACUGCUAUGGAUGUCCCAUCCACUCCCUCAACAAGCACCAGCUAUCAAGGUGGAUCAACAGCUCCUCCAAUUGACCCAGCUGAAUGGUCAGCAUUCCUGUCUGACUCAGAAAGGACUGAUCUGGUAAGAAGAGGGCCAGUGCAAAUUAGUGACACCUUCACCUUCCCCAAAAAAUCUGAUGGUCGAAGCUUUCAUUACCAUUAUACGUAUACAAAUCUGUUGAAAGAUCUGUUUAUUAAACUGAUACUUUAAAAAAAAAUACAAAUGCUGUUGUAUUUAAUUAUUUUACAAUUUAACUUCAGUAAACCACACUUGAUGCUUUACUUUGAAUAUGAAAGUUUAAAAUAAAUCUGUGAUCUAAGUGCCCUCUAAGGUUAAAAGGUGACUGUUUUGGUGUAAAUAACGACUAUAAUAAUACAGGGGUCUAUCAAGGGACAAAAGUCUAGAAUAUUUUUGGCAUGAGAGCAACUGAAUGAGCCUUCCAGGCCCAAGAGGUCAAGGGGCACUGAAGCCCAAGCCCAAGUCACCAUCUCAAUAAGUCAAAAAGCAAAAUGCUAUGAAUAUGCUUAAA